UGCUCAGGACGAACGCUGGCGGCGUGCUUAACACAUGCAAGUCGAACGAUGAACCACUUCGGUGGGGAUUAGUGGCGAACGGGUGAGUAACACGUGGGCAAUCUGCCCUUCACUCUGGGACAAGCCCUGGAAACGGGGUCUAAUACCGGAUGAUACUUCUGCUCGCAUGGGUGGGGGUUGAAAGCUCCGGCGGUGAAGGAUGAGCCCGCGGCCUAUCAGCUUGUUGGUGAGGUAGUGGCUCACCAAGGCGACGACGGGUAGCCGGCCUGAGAGGGCGACCGGCCACACUGGGACUGAGACACGGCCCAGACUCCUACGGGAGGCAGCAGUGGGGAAUAUUGCACAAUGGGCGAAAGCCUGAUGCAGCGACGCCGCGUGAGGGAUGACGGCCUUCGGGUUGUAAACCUCUUUCAGCAGGGAAGAAGCGAAAGUGACGGUACCUGCAGAAGAAGCGCCGGCUAACUACGUGCCAGCAGCCGCGGUAAUACGUAGGGCGCAAGCGUUGUCCGGAAUUAUUGGGCGUAAAGAGCUCGUAGGCGGUCUGUCGCGUCGGAUGUGAAAGCCCGGGGCUUAACCCCGGGUCUGCAUUCGAUACGGGCAGACUAGAGUGUGGUAGGGGAGAUCGGAAUCC
RNAcentral lists this ribosomal RNA (631 nucleotides) under Actinomycetales bacterium A279. Its description in RNAcentral is "bacterial SSU rRNA". It matches the Rfam family "Bacterial small subunit ribosomal RNA", at positions 21 to 669 of the family's 1533-position model. The record is from RNAcentral. Lineage: Bacteria; Bacillati; Actinomycetota; Actinomycetes; Actinomycetales.